CACUGCUAUCGGGGUUCGAUUAAGCCAUGCGAGUCGAGAGGGUUCAGACCCUCGGCGCACUGCUCAGUAACACGUGGAUAACCUACCCUGAGGAGGGGGAUAACCCCGGGAAACUGGGGAUAAUACCUCAUAGGUUUCAGAUGCUGGAAUGCUCUGAAACCGAAAUGCUCCGGCGCCUCAGGAUGGAUCUGCGGCCGAUUAGGUUGUUGUUGGGGUAACGGCCCAACAAGCCCGUCAUCGGUACGGGUUGUGAGAGCAAGAGCCCGGAGAUGGAUUCUGAGACACCAAUCCAGGCCCUACGGGGCGCAGCAGGCGCGAAACCUUUACAAUGCGAGCAAUCGCGAUAAGGGAACCCCGAGUGCCUGAAACCAGGCUGUUCAGGUGUUUAAAAAGCACCUGGAGAAAGGGCCGGGCAAGACCGGUGCCAGCCGCCGCGGUAAUACCGGCGGCUCGAGUGGUGGCCGCUAUUAUUGGGCUUAAAGCGUUCGUAGCUGGGUUGUUAAGUCUCUUGGGAAAUCUCACGGCUCAACCGUGAGGCGACUAAGAGAUACUGGCAAUCUUGGGACCGGGA
This 571-nucleotide ribosomal RNA is filed under the name uncultured archaeon. RNAcentral describes it as "bacterial SSU rRNA". It matches the Rfam family "Archaeal small subunit ribosomal RNA", at positions 25 to 604 of the family's 1478-position model. The record is from RNAcentral.